This 252-nucleotide ribosomal RNA is filed under the name uncultured bacterium. RNAcentral's name for it is "partial 16S ribosomal RNA". It matches the Rfam family "Bacterial small subunit ribosomal RNA", at positions 524 to 776 of the family's 1533-position model. The record is from RNAcentral.
UACGGGGGGGCAAGCGUUGUUCGGAAUUACUGGGCGUAAAGGGCUCGUAGGCGGCCAACUAAGUCAUACGUGAAAUCCCUCGGCUUAACCGGGGAACUGCGUCUGAUACUGGAUGGCUUGAGAUUGGGAGAGGGAUGCGGAAUUCCAGGUGUAGCGGUGAAAUGCGUAGAUAUCUGGAGGAACACCGGUGGCGAAGGCGGCACUCUGGGCCGGUACUGACGCUGAGGAGCGAAAGCGUGGGGAGCGAACAGG